Marmota monax (woodchuck) is the source of this 11163-nucleotide RNA transcript. It is a transcript of the gene named collagen type XX alpha 1 chain, with no coding region annotated. The transcript has 31 exons. The record is from RefSeq and is a predicted model, not a curated record. Lineage: Eukaryota; Metazoa; Chordata; Mammalia; Rodentia; Sciuridae.
CAGGCUCAUCAGACCUGGGGACCAGGUGUCUUUGAGAGCCAGGCUCACUGCUUCUGCUGGGGGCAGGCCCCAGGGCCACAGCCUUGCCCAGCACCAUCAGGCUGUCCAGUCUGUGUGGAAGUGCUCUUUACCUUUAAAGAAUUGAGCUGGUUCUUUUUUUUUCCCUUGAAGAAAAUGCCUGGAGUUUCAGAGAUGGACAUGCCGAAGGCAGUGCUGGAGCUUGUACUACUGCCCAGCCCCUGGCCUGGUCCACAUCUCCUGUGGCCUUUGCUCUGAAGCUCAUUGUUGGGAUCUCUGGCCAUCCCGUCAGCCCUUUCCAGCCCCUGAUUUGCCAGAAAAGCCCUCCACAGAGGCUCAGUGGGCUCUGGCCUCAGCCCUUGAACUUUCCCAUCAUGGAAUACCCUGGACACCUCAGAAAUGAGCAGAGUAGGCUGGGGUAGCAGGCUCUGCAGGUUGGUCCCUGCCUAUCCUGCUGUGAGGAUCCUGCUGGGGGCUGGCAAGAGGGCAGGUGAGGCUCCAGGGCCUCCCUGGAGACCCUGCUCCCAGGAACAACGCUGGCCAAUGUUUUGUUGUUUGCUGUGUCCACCAUGGUCAGCUCUUCCCUGUCCCAGGCACCUGGAGGAUCACUACACUGGUGGCUGCACCCAUGGCUCUCCCUCCUGUGUGCCCCGCCUUGCACAGUGGUACUGAGGUCUCACUGAACGCAGUGGAGCCCACCCAGGCCCUGAGCCUGUUGGACUGUGAAGCAAGUGCAUCGCAAGCUCGGGGACUGGAGGCACUAGUGCCCUGCAGACAAGACCCACCGUGGGUUGCUGCUGCGUGCCUGCUGGGAGGGCCACUGGGCCUCUCCUCGCACCCCCCCACCCCUACUGACCCUCAGUUUUACCAGCAGCGCAUGCACCUGUUGCUUCUUGUGUGGUUUGUGUGCAAUCUGCUGUGUCCUGCCACAGCUGUGCUUGUCACAAUGCUGGCAAGGCCACCAGGUCCUGGGUGUGUCCGCCUUGAGGGUUUGUAGCUAUCUGGGUCUGAGAUGGGCCUUCAAUUUGGAGAGCCCUGCUGGGUAGGUAUGUGUCUCUGUAGAGGGCCAGUCUCAGGACUUCCUGAGCCGGGUGUGUGUGUGUGUGUGUGUGUCCACCACUCAUCACUGGGGGAGCAGCCUGCCUCAGCUGCCUGAGCUCUGGGCACAGCUUGCAUCCCUGUCCCAAGGCCUAUCCCCAGGUGGGAAGGGUGGAGUGCCCUGGUUCAGGGCCUGCAGUGUAUACCAGCACUCCUUAGGAAAUGGGCCAUCUGCCCUGGGGUUGUUGGGAGUGGAAGAUGGCACCUGCUAGCUGGUCCCCAUUUAAGCUUGCUUCUAGGAAGCACUGGCCACUGCCAAGACCCCUCACAGGAGAGGACAGACUGUUUUGCUGAGUCUGAUCCCUCACCAAAGGGAGUUCCAUAAAGCACAUGGGAGCAGGGCCCUGGUGAGCCCUAAAGGGUCGCUUCCUACAUGGCUAUGGGUGGAUGGGAACCCCAUGGAGUGUAGUCCUAGAGGGGGCAGUGAGGUUGCCGCAGACAUCCCAGGCAGCAGAUGUCCAUGUCGUGGGCCUGUGCUGUUUGUCCCAGAUGUCUACUCUCACCCUAGGCACCAGCCUGACUAGUAGAUACCUCAAGGCCAUUUCUUGAGUUCCUAAUAGAUUGGCAUACUGGGCAGCCCCUCAUUACACCCAUUCAACUGUGUUGUCACCCCCAACCCCAACUAACCCAUGCUGGCAGGGCCCAGGUGCUGCCCAGCAGGAAGAAAAACCAAGCUGAAGAUGGCCUGGUAGGAUUGGCUUGAUGAAUGAACAGGGGCAGCUGGGAGGAGGACUGGUCCUGCCCUGUUCCAACCAGCUGGCGGGAGGGUUGAGGGUCCAUGGGAGCUUUUCCUGCAGGCCCUUGGGGUUACCCUACCCCCAUUGGUGGGUUAGAGGAAGAGGGGUCUCUGGCAUGUGACCCCAGAGCUCACCUGACUAGUAAGAUCUGAAGGGCACUGGGAGCUUUGAGGGAUCUCUGGGCAGGUCUGGGGAUGAAAAGGCACAGGACUCCCCACAUGAAGUCACAUUGCUGUGAGCCAGAAGUGCCUGAGGUUGUUGGGCCAUCUCUGCAGUCCCUGCUGAGGGCCUGGGGCUGUUGGGCUGACAUGGAGACAUGGGUGGUGUCAGUGAGGCAUCAGGGAAGCAGGUUGUCCUUCUGUAGUGGGCCAGUCACUGGCCAGGCAGCUGGGGGCUGGGUGUGACUCCCAAACCUUUCCUGGGGGAGGGCAGCUAUGGUUGAGCAGCCUACCCCAGCCCCCAAGAUCUUGGGGACCCCACAAUGGCUGUGACUACAGACAUUAACCUCCCCCUGACUCUGCAGAGUAUCUUCAGGGACAUGGCCCAGGACAGAUAGACUGAGUUCUUGUUGGGUCUGGUGGGGGAUGGGGGUCCACUUAAGCACUGGUCACAGGCUGGCCUGCAGGGGAACUGUGGGCCAUUGAGAGGUGCAAGGAGGGCUUCACUGGGGGCAGUGUUCACCAGACCUGUGCAGAGUGGAGGGUCCUGGGGAACACUGGAUUUCAGGUUCUGGGGCACAAUAGGAGGGGGGAAGGAAGUAGAGGCUGGGUGGCCUCUUCCCUGAUGGCAUCCUGAGAGCUGUUCCAGCCUCUGCCCUUCACAUAAGCUGCCAGAGAGCCCUAACAUCCAGCACCCACUAGUUCAGUGCCCAGGGCUGCAUGUGGCCUUUGUCUCUAAGUGGCCUCACCUGUGAGCUUCUCUUCAGGGGCUAAGCCCUCAGGGAAUGAGGAGUAAGGUGCUUACACACUUGCUAUCCCUGGUAGUUUCCCUGAAUGUACACUGGGGUCCUUUGUGCUGGGACCACUAUCUCUCCUUGGAUAUGCCCCAGGCAACAGCACAGAGGAAGGUGGGGACUGGUGGUGGCAGGGCUUGAAUAUUGGGGGCGGGGCCUUUCAUAAGCCCUGUCCUAACUGGCCACAGCAGGACCAGAAUGGAUCAGAAGGCCCUGGGGAGUGAGGGACGCCGUGCUUGCAGCAGGAGGAGGUCGGUGACUUGCCUGCAGUCCUCAGCUGAGUGGACAGGGGAACCACUCAGGUCUGUGAGGGUGCCCUUGACCUUUCAGGAAGAUUGGGAUAGGAGAUGAGCUCUUAGGUGGGCAGCAGGGCCAGGGUGCAGCCUGGAGACUUGGGCUAUCCUGAGUUCUCACUGACCCUUCUCACAGGGAAGGUGAUACCCAGCAGAAAGGGUGGGGAGGUUUCAGACUUAGGUGGAGUUCAGGGGCUUAGGAGUGUUGGGGGCUGUCCUGCUGGAUCCUUUGUGGCCAGAUAGGACCCAGCCCACAGCUGCCUCUCCUCCAGGCCACUGGUGCCAGGGUCUCCUUAUGUUGGUUGCUCAGUACUGGCUUGGCACCCCAGACUUGGUGCAUUCCCAUGAAGGGGAUAAGGUCCAGGAUGGGGCCGUGUGGCUAGCAGCCUUUCCACAGGCAGGGUCUUCCCUUGGGGGUGGGGGGAUGUUGCUUGGUGGGGAUACCCCUGAGCACAAGCUGGGAGAGGUGUGCAGUGGGUGGUCUGCUGCUCAGCUGGGUGGGGUUGGAGGGUCUGGGUCAGUCAGGACUUGGAGGAGGACCCUGGCCCCACCAUGGAGGCUGUGGGCUGUGCUGUCACCUGCCCUCUGCUCAGCACAAAGAAUCGGGGGCCUCAUCUGUGAGCAGUGCUUUCCUCUUCCCUAAGGCUGGAGUCAGUGUGCUGGUCAGGGCCCUCAUCCCAGCCAGCCAGCACGGGUCUGUCCACCAGCCCUGGGGACAGGUCGCCUCAGCUCGCAUGUCCCAGACCAGGUUGUUUUUGUGCCCUGGCCCCUCCCUGCCCCUGUAGCAGUCCCUAGGUCACCCUGGCCUUCUCAACUGUCAGCCCUCUGGGUACCCUGUCUGACUUUGGUUCCCAGGCCCCCCACAUUCACACAGCCCUGGCAAGUGCUGUCCCAGAAGCACCUGCUGCUAUUCUCGUUCACCUCCUAAUGUCUCAGAUACCCUUUCUGCUUUGAGGCUGGGCCUGGCAGAGACCCUCCAUGUGUCCAAUGAUCAGACGAUGUCCCCAGCCUGAGGACCCCCAUGAGCAGCAGUCCAUAACCACUAUAAGUUUGGGGCGAGGGGCAGCUGGGGGUUCAAGGUCCUGUUGUCACUCAGUUGUCUAGCUGUGUGCAUCCACUGUGGGUGUGAACACCAGGAGCAGGAUGGGAAGGCCCCCAGUGCAGCCUCAGCUUUGGGUGGCAGCAGGGAACAGCAUCCAAAGGUCACCAGCCUCUGGGCCCCCAGAAGGGUUUGUGGGACUUGUCUGCGUGGCUCACAGAGGCACGGAGGACAAAUUCUGGCUGUGUGGUCAGUGGGGACUGAUGGGUGGGUGGAGGUGAAGAGUCAAAGCUUCUCCUCCCACAGGCUGUGCACCAUGAGCCCCCGAGCCCGCCUCCACAUCUGCCUCUGGCUGUGGCUGGGUACCACCUUGGCACAUGGGCUGGGACAAGGUAAGGGGGUCCUGGGGACAGUCCCCACCCCUGCAGGACAAGUCCUCUGUGGUGAGCUCUUGGCUUCCUUCCAGCGAGUGUUGUCAGAGUCAAGGCUGCUCAGUUAAGAGGCAGUGACGGCAGAGCAGGCAGGCGGAGGGGACUCACUCCCGUGAGUCUCACCUCAGCGUCACAGUGGCCUGCAGUCUCCCCCGGCCUUGGGGUGCUUUUGUGUUUUGUGUUUCUCUUUUCAUUCCCUCCUCUCUGCAGUUGUUCAUUCUCUGUCACAUUCCUGUUUUGCUUAGCUAUGUCGUGACUGCCUUUCAGCAUGGUUUCCAGACAGCACACAUCUUGAUAAGGGGCCCCUGCCUCUCCUGCACUGUCCUCUGAGGUCUCUGGGUGGGGCAGGGACACCUCCACUUGGCCCUUGCCACCUAUCUGCUGUCAGCUUCUCAGUGUUGACUCCCUGGGGAACAGCACACGGGCCUGGGGAAGGUGUAUGCUGGAGGUGCCUCCCUGGGAAAAGUCCUGGCCCAGUGGGUUUUUGGAGGCGAGUUUCUGUCAACAGAACCACUGUAACUCAGUUCAUGCCGGGACCUUGCUUCCCUGGCGGGGUGGAAGUAACCCUCUGUGGCAGUCCAGGCUCUACAAACUGCUGUUCUCAUUCUUGGUGGCCCCUUGUCCCUGUCUGCAUCUGCAGGUUCUGGGUCAACCUCAACAUCUGGCCCCGCUUCCCACACGCCCACCAUGGAGCCAUGGGGCAACUCGAACCCAGGUCUGGUCUGGGGCCUUGCCGGUUUCUGGUUUCCCAGCCAGUACUCUCUGGUGGGGAGGCACCUGGACUGACCUUAGCUCCUCCUGCUCAGAAUAACCCAAAGAGAUAAAUCUUGGACAGGGACCAUGAUUUCAGUUAGAAAGGAGCCUCCCUUGUCAGUUCGAGCCAAGUCACAAAGCAGUUCUACCAAGACAAUGUGCUCAGGUGAAGGCAGGGACGUCACCCUGUCUAGUGCAGGUUCUCCCAGGGUGGAAGCUUGGGCAGGCCCCCAACAUGUCAGAGGCAGAGUGGAGGAACAAAAGAUUCUUCAUGGGCAAGAGUGGGGCUCUGCCCACAGCUGGUGCUUCAGAGCCCCCUCCUCAUCCCCACACAUCCUGCCUUUCAGCAGGAGGCUUCCCGGGCAUCCAGGACCCUUUGGACCCAUCUAGAGACCAGCUCAGCUGCUUCCUGUUCUGAAUGGGUUAUUGUGUCUGCUGGGUGUCCCCUGCCUGGCCCAUGCACUCCAGUUCCCAGUGUGGCAGCCAGAAGAGGCCCAUCUCUGUCCCCAGUUUCCAAAAAUAGCUGCUCACUCCCUAGAGCCCAGAAGUUCCCUGGGAGGUCAGUUCCGGCCCACACUGCCCCUCUUGUUCCCACCAGUCAUGGGCACCCCUCUUGCCCAGCAGGAGUCAUUCUCUAGCAUGGGGCUGAGGCUGCACGUGCGUGUGCAUGCACAGACACACACCACUGUGCACACACGCAGCCAUCAUGUGCACACAUCUGGGUGGGGACUCUGCACCCAGAGUGCCCCCAAGGAAUGAGUCAACCUGGUAGUGACCUUGACAACUCUAGGGAGUCUGCAGGCACAGCUGCUUCUCCUGAGACUGAUUGGCAACUGGGAAACCCCAGGCUGCCACAAUGCCCUGGGGGCUGGCACCUCUGUCACCAAGCGGUUGCUGCCCUCCUCGGCACAACCUCAGGGGUCAGAGGCACCCCAGGGCAGGAUUUGAUUUCCUCUCACAGAAGCUGCCAGUGCAGUCCUGUUGCUGAGGACCACAGGAGGGCUGGUUCUCAGCCCUCUGGGCAGGCAUUUCCCUGUGAGCUCCCCAGGAGACAAGGCCUCAGAUGCCCAGGGUACACCGUGUCCCUCCAGAACCCCCAAGAUGGGACAGUGCCCUUCAGAUCUCAAGGCAGCGGCCACCUAAGGCUAACUGUGCUGCCUGAGGACCGGCUGCAAAUGAAGUGGAGAGAGUCAGUGGGGAGUGGCCUGGGCUACCUGGUGCAGGUGAAGCCCAUGGCAGGGAGGAACUGGGGGGCGGCCUGGAGGCUUCUUGUCCCACGUGCACACAGGGGACUCGGAGCAGGAAGUGAUGUUGACUACCAAGAUCCCCAAGGCCACUGUUGGGGGCCUGAGCCCCUCCAAGGGCUACACCUUGCAGAUCUUCAAGCUCACUGGCUCUGGGCCUGUCCUGCUGUUGAAGACCUGAAGAGUAACUCCCUGGGCAAGAGCAGCCAGAGGCCACCAGGGGCAGCUCUGGAGCCCACCCCUUCCCACAGGGGAGCCCCAGAUCCUGAGCAGGUCUCUGACUCCAGAGUCACCUUCACCCCAAGCCAAGACCCUCCCAUUCUCGGAAUACCCAGUGUGGGUCAGCAGCAGCUUGAGCAGCACUGGUCCUGGGGCCCUGUGGCGCAGGAUCCUGCUCAACAGCCCCCAGACCUGGAGAGGCAGAGCCACUCUGUGGCCCCGGCCAGAAGGAGAGAGAAGCUGGCUGGCCCUGAGUUCCGCUGCACUCCCCCCACACCCACUGACAUGGUCUUCCUGGUGGACGGGUCCUGGAGUAUUGGCCGUGGCCACUUCCAGCACGUCAAGAACUUCCUGGCCAGUGUCAUCUCACCCUUUGAGAUUGGGCCCGAUAAAGUCCAAGUUGGCCUGACUCAAUACAGUGGAGACCCCCAGACCGAGUGGGACCUGAACUCCUUCCGCAGCAGUGGGGAGGUGCUGGCAGCUGUGCAUGGCCUCCGCUACAAGGGAGGGAACACGUUCACAGGCCUCGCCCUGACCCAUGUGCUGGGGCAGAACCUGAAACCUUCAGCCGGUCUCCGUCCAGAGGCAGCCAAAGUGGUGAUUCUCGUGACGGACGGCAAGUCCCAGGAUGAUGUGCACACUGCUGCCCGCGUCCUCAAGGACCUGGACGUUGACGUCUUCGCUGUGGGUGUGAAGAAUGCUGAUGAGGCAGAACUGAAGGUCCUGGCAUCCCAGCCCCUGGACAUCACUGUGCACAAUGUGCUGGACUUCCCCCAGCUGGCCACCCUGGCUGGCCUGCUCAGCCGCCUCAUUUGCCAGAAGGUGCAAGGCAGGAGCCUGAGCAGGGCCCCAGUCACUCCAGAAGAUGCUCCGGCCCUGGAACCCCUCCCGGGGCCCAGCAGCCUGGUCCUGACCCAGAUCACCUCCUCCAGCGUCCACGUGUCCUGGACUCCAGCCCCCCAGCUGCCCCUUGAGUAUCUGAUCGUGUGGCAGUCGUCCAGGGGUGGCACCCCCCAAGAGCUGGUGGUCGGAGGGCCCGCCUCAUCUGUGCAGCUUUGCAACCUGACCUCCAGCUCCGAGUACCUGGUCUCUGUGCUCCCUGUCUACAAGGACAGGGUUGGCAAGGGCCUGCAGGGUCUGGUGACUACAGCACCCCUGCCUCCACCGCGGGCACUGACCCUGGUGACAGCAACACCCAGGACGCUCCGCCUGGCCUGGCAGUCCUCUGCCGGGGCCACCCAGUACCUGGUUCGAUGCUUAUCAGCCUCCCCAGGGGGCAAGGAGGAAAAGAAGGAGGUGCAGGUAGGGCGGCCUGAGGUGCUGCUGGACGGCCUGGAACCAGGCAGAGACUACCAGAUCUUGGUGCAGAGCCUGCGAGGGCCAGAGGCCAGCGAGGCCCGGAGCAUCCACAUCAGGACCCCUGCCCUGGCCCCACCAAGGCACCUGGGCUUCUCAGACGUGAGCCACGACUCAGCCCGUGUGUCCUGGGAGGGCACCCAGAGGCCCAUGCGCUUGGUCAGGGUCAGCUACAUCUCCAGUGAUGGUGGUCACUCAGGGCAGACAGAGGCUCCUGGGAAUGCUACAUGGGCUGCUCUAGGACCCCUCUUCUCCUCUACCACCUACACUGUUCGUAUCACCUGCCUCUACCUUGGGGGAGGCUCCUCCACGCUGACUGGCCGUGUGACCACAAGGAAAGCCCCCAGCCCGAGCCAGCUGUCGGUGACAGAGCUGCCAGGGGAUGCAGUCAGGCUGGUGUGGGCAGCGGCAGCCUCAUCGGGCGUACUGGUCUACCAGAUCAAGUGGACACCCCUGGGAGACGGGCAGGCCCAUGAGAUCUCUGUCCCAGGAACCCUGAGCACAGCUGUCCUGCCUGACCUGGGGAAGCACACAGAGUAUGAGAUCACCAUCCUGGCCUACUACAGGGACGGGGCCCGCAGUGACCCUGUGUCCCUCCGCUACUCCCCCUCUGCAGCAAGAAGAAGUCCCCCCUCCAGCCUGGCUCUGUCCUCGGAGACUCCCAACAGCCUUCGGGUCAGCUGGACACCCCCAAGUGGCCAUGUUCUCCACUACCGGCUCACCUACACGCCUGCCACAGGCUCCAGACCUGAUCAAUCAAUCUCUGUGCCAGGGCCCAGGAACCACACCGUGCUCUCUGACUUGCUAGCUGCCACCAAGUACAAGGUCCUGGUCUCAGCUGUCUAUGGAGCAGGGGAGAGUGUGGCAGUGUCUGCCAUGGGCUGGACAGCAGCCUGCCCCACCCUCCACCUGGACAGCUCCCUCCCAGGAUUUGACUUGAUGGCAGCCUUCGGCCUGGUGGAGAAGGAGCACGCCUCUAUUCGAGGUGUGGCCAUGGAACCCUCAGCCUUGGGCCUGACCCCGACCUUCACACUCUUCAAGGAUGCCCAGCUGACACGGCGGACUAGCGACAUCCACCCAGUGGCCCUGCCGCCUGAGCACACCAUUGUCUUCCUUGUGCGCCUGCUCCCCGAGACACCCCGCGAAGCCUUUGCGCUGUGGCAGAUGACGGCUGAAGACUUUCAGCCCCUCCUCGGGGUUCUUCUGGAUGCUGGCAGAAAGUCGCUGACCUACUUCAACCAUGACCCCAGAGCUGCCUUGCAGGUGGCCACUUUCGACCUGCAGGAGGUGAAGAAGAUCUUCUUCGGGAGCUACCACAAGGUGCAUGUGGCUGUGGGACACUCCAAGGUCAGACUGUAUGUGGACUGCCAGAAGGUGGCUGAGAGGCCCAUCGGAGAGGCUAGCUCACCCACCUCUGGCUUUGUCAUGCUGGGGAGGCUGGCCAAGGCCAGGGGUCCCCGGAGCAGCUCAGCUACGUUCCAGCUUCAGAUGCUGCAGAUUGUGUGUAGUGACACCUGGGCAGAUGAGGACAAGUGCUGUGAGCUUCCUGCAUUGAGGGACGGAGAGACAUGCCCUGUCUUCCCUUCUGCCUGCACCUGCUCUUCAGAGACUCCCGGGCCCCCAGGACCUCAAGGCCCUCCAGGCCUCCCUGGGAGGAAUGGCACCCCAGGAGGACAGGGCCUCCCUGGGCCCAGGACACUUGCCAAAGGCCUCUGGACCAAGGGGGCGUAGGUGCCACAAGUACAGACUUGUUUGGCCCCACACACUGGUGCUGUCGCAGGCUCUGUGGGUGUCUGGCAGGGUCUGGCUCUGCAGAGGAGGCCGAAGAUGGUGCCCCAGUGACAGCACCACACCUGUGUGGCUUGGGAGGCGCUCCCAGCUGGGCUCUGAGAUGUUCAGAAUGUUCAGUGCGCAGGGGCUGAGAGGCUGCCUCCCCCCAGCCCCACACCCUGCCUCCCACCCUGCACCUGCCUUGGCAGAGUGUCCUGGCAGGCUGGCCCGGUCCUCCCAAUGAGCAUGCGCCGCAGAUGGUAGCCAGCUUGCAUCAGAAGGGGGAGGUCGUGAACCUCCACGGCCCACGUCUCGCCCUGUGUACCACCAACCACGUGGGCCUGGUGCUGGGCAGGAGCACAGAGCUUGGGUAUAGAAAGCCACACUGCCCCCUGGAGGCCAGGCGAGGCGGAGCAGCCUCUGUAGAGCAGGGGUGCACCCAGGGUGCCUGGCUGACACAGCGGCUGCCACCUUGCGUCCCUGUCCCUCAUGUCUGCAGCAGGCAGCCUUUCCUGUGGGAAGCAUGCCCUGGCUCCAGGGUGCCGCUGGCUUGUUUCUUCAUGGGUGCUUCACAUACUGUGCGCCAGCCUCACUCUGCGAAGGAGUCACAACUGUGUCCUUUGGCCUUGUUUGUGACAAGUGUUUUCACACAGAUGUUCCUUUUUUUUUUUUGGUACUAGGGAUUGAGCCCACUUUUACCACUGAGCCACACCCUAGCCCUUUUUAUAUUUUAUUUUAAGACAGAGUCUCUCUAAGUUGCUUAGGGCCUCCUAAAUUGUUGAGGCUGGGUUUGAACUCGUGAUCCUCCUGCCUCAGCCUCCCGAGCUGCUGGGAUUAUAGGUGUGCACCAUCGUGCCUGGAACAAGUAGCAUUUUUAUCAUUUGAAUCUUGCCCAGGAACUUGGCAUCCUUCUGUUGUCCAGGUUUCUUUUGUGACUCUCCACGAGACUUUCAAGAAGUGGCUUAUCUGGCCUGGGCUCUAGCUCACCCCAAACCUUGCAUCUUUUCGUCACAGCUGUCACCAGGCCCUUCCCUCUCGCAGUGUCUGCCUGGCGGUUUCUGCAGGGCCGUCGUCUCUGAGCAACAUUUUCCUAUCCAGCUUUCUGAAUGGAUUGUCUGUGUGAUUCUUGGUUUUCAGGGAGAGCCAGGGCCACCUGGACAGACAGGACCUGAGGGCCCUGGAGGUCAGCAGGGGUCACCAGGGACCCAGGGCCGCACAGUCCAGGGACCUGUGGGUCCACCAGGGUCAAAAGG